This 241-nucleotide ribosomal RNA is filed under the name Martinezella rhizogenes. RNAcentral describes it as "Agrobacterium rhizogenes partial 23S ribosomal RNA". It matches the Rfam family "Bacterial large subunit ribosomal RNA", at positions 2681 to 2925 of the family's 2925-position model. The record is from RNAcentral. Lineage: Bacteria; Pseudomonadati; Pseudomonadota; Alphaproteobacteria; Hyphomicrobiales; Rhizobiaceae.
GUACGAGAGGACCGGGAUGGACGUAUCUCUGGUGGAUCUGUUGUCCUGCCAAGGGCAUAGCAGAGUAGCUAUAUACGGAAUGGAUAACCGCUGAAGGCAUCUAAGCGGGAAACCAACCUGAAAACGAGUGUUCCCUAUCAGAGCCGUGGAAGACGACCACGUCGAUAGGACGGGUGUGGAAGUGCAGUAAUGCAUGAAGCUUACCGUUACUAAUAGCUCGAGCGACUUCUUCGUUCCCAUU